RNAcentral lists this ribosomal RNA (869 nucleotides) under uncultured bacterium. RNAcentral describes it as "bacterial SSU rRNA". It matches the Rfam family "Bacterial small subunit ribosomal RNA", at positions 1 to 849 of the family's 1533-position model. The record is from RNAcentral.
CCUUAGAGUUUGAUCCUGGCUCAGGACGAACGCUGGCGGCGUGCUUAACACAUGCAAGUCGAACGGGGUGUUUAUUUCGGUAAACAUCAAGUGGCGAACGGGUGAGUAACGCGUAAGCAAUCUACCUUCAAGAUGGGGACAACACUUCGAAAGGGGUGCUAAUACCGAAUGAAUGUAAGAGUAUCGCAUGAGACACUUACUAAAGGAGGCCUCUGACAUAAGCUUCCGCUUGAAGAUGAGCUUGCGUCUGAUUAGCUAGUUGGUGAGGGUAAAGGCCCACCAAGGCGACGAUCAGUAGCCGGUCUGAGAGGAUGAACGGCCACAUUGGGACUGAGACACGGCCCAGACUCCUACGGGAGGCAGCAGUGGGGAAUCUUCCGCAAUGGGCGAAAGCCUGACAGAGCAACGCCGCGUGAACGAUGAAGGUCUUAGGAUCGUAAAGUUCUGUUGUUAGGGACGAAGGAUAAGGAUUAUAAUACAGUAUUUGUUUGACGGUACCUAACGAGGAAGCCACGGCUAACUACGUGCCAGCAGCCGCGGUAAUACGUAGGCGGCAAGCGUUGUCCGGAAUUAUUGGGCGUAAAGGGAGCGCAGGCGGGAAACUAAGCGGAUCUUAAAAGUGCGGGGCUCAACCCCGUGAUGGGGUCCGAACUGGUUUUCUUGAGUGCAGGAGAGGAAAGCGGAAUUCCCAGUGUAGCGGUGAAAUGCGUAGAUAUUGGGAAGAACACCAGUGGCGAAGGCGGCUUUCUGGACUGUAACUGACGCUGAGGCUCGAAAGCUAGGGUAGCGAACGGGAUUAGAUACCCCGGUAGUCCUAGCCGUAAACGAUGGAUACUAGGUGUGGGAGGUAUCGACUCCUUCCGUGCCGG